UUAUUAGAUCCAUGAAUAUGAUUCCUGAUGCUAUGGACAAGCUGGGGCCACAUGGUCUAGAGCUUGAGGAUGAGGAUGAGGAUGAUGACGAGGAUUAGGAUGAUAUACAAGUUAGUGAUCUUGUACCAAUUGGGCAUUCCAAUACUAACACACUUGCAUUAAGAUCCAUCGGGCUUCUCGUCAAUCAUUUCCUAGUGACGUUUAAUCAGUCAACGACUAUAUUUCUUUAUAAAUUUUAUGUUGCUUUUAAACAAGAGACAACCUCUUCUUCUAGUUCGUGCAUGAAAACAUCACUUCCAAAAUCAGACAUGCUAUUGAUCAAGGAGAAGUUAUGUUCUGCUGAGUCCCCCCAAAGCUUAUAAUGGCAGAGCCCAUUUAUAUAGUGCAGCUCCAUUGCAAGAGGGAUGUUACCAUGUUCAAAGAUUUCGCAAGUCUUAUCCAUGCAUAAUCACGUUUGUAAACCCUAAACCUUUCAGGACUACAACAUUUCUUGGAUGGAAAUUCUCAGAGUGUCCUUUAUGAUGUUCUGUGGGCAUUGAAUUCCAUAAUGAAGGCACAUCGUUUCAAGCUAAAGGUUUUGGUUGCUGGAGCCAUGUUCCCCCAUCGCUUCGACCAGUAGGCGACCUUCACUAUGGUACUGCUGCAUUUAGAGGAUCUAUCCAGAAGCUGAAGCUCACUUCUAACGGAUUGGUAAUGUAUACAGACUAUCGUUCCAUGCCAAUCUUAUGAAUUUGCAUGUUAUUUACUUCCUUUUAGAGUAUCUUCCACAAAUUCAGCAUACCAAGAACAUCCCAAUGUUUAUAGACGAUGUUAAGCUGGUGUUGCUGGACUGAGUGUGGGUGUGACUCAUCGCCCUUCAAACCAGAAGUAUAUCAUGUUUGGAGUGACUGACGAGCUAACAAAAGAUAUUCAGUUUGUACUAACAGAUCUUGUAGGGAAGGAACCACCGCAGGUAGUCAUGCUUUACGUACUACUUUAAGACAAAGUGGGGCACAAUGAUAGAGCACACAGAUCCCCCGUGCUUAAAAUUGGAAAGUGGUUCAAAGAUGAACUACGUCCCUGCCAAAUGUUGUUAUGUGGUUGAUGACAAAAUAAUUCCACCUAAGCAACUAACUAGGGAAGUUGUUUUGAAACUAGAUAAAUUGUUUAUACUAAUGCAACAAAUUAACAUUCAACGUUUAUAACCACAAAUAUAUGUGUAGAUUUA
This is a long non-coding RNA of Helianthus annuus (common sunflower), 1207 nucleotides long. RefSeq lists it as uncharacterized. The record is from RefSeq and is a predicted model, not a curated record. The transcript has 2 exons. Lineage: Eukaryota; Viridiplantae; Streptophyta; Magnoliopsida; Asterales; Asteraceae.